CCAAAAAGAGGCGCGCUCCUU
This 21-nucleotide unclassified non-coding RNA is filed under the name synthetic construct. The record is from RNAcentral.